CCUACGGGUGGCUGCAGUGGGGGAUAUUGCACAAUGGGGGGAACCCUGAUGCAGCGACGCCGCGUGGGUGAAGAAGCGCCUCGGCGCGUAAAGCCCUGUCAGCAGGGGAGAAAAUGACGGUACCUGAAGAAGAAGCCCCGGCUAAUUACGUGCCAGCAGCCGCGGUAAUACGUAGGGGGCAAGCGUUAUCCGGAUUUACUGGGUGUAAAGGGGGCGCAGACGGCGAUGCAAGCCAGGAGUGAAAGCCCGGGGGCCAACCCCGGGACUGCUCUUGGAACUGCGUGGCUGGAGUGCAGGAGGGGCAGGCGGAAUGCCUGGUGUAGCGGUGAAAUGCAUAGAUAUCCGGAGGAACACCAGUGGCGAAGGCGGCCUGCUGGACAUUAACUGACGCUGAGGCGCGAAAGCGUGGGGAGCAAACAGGAUUAGAUACCCUUGUAGUC
RNAcentral lists this ribosomal RNA (440 nucleotides) under uncultured bacterium. Its description in RNAcentral is "partial 16S ribosomal RNA". It matches the Rfam family "Bacterial small subunit ribosomal RNA", at positions 338 to 795 of the family's 1533-position model. The record is from RNAcentral.